Molecule: ribosomal RNA, 253 nt
Filed under: uncultured bacterium
Lineage: Bacteria
Description: partial 16S ribosomal RNA
Rfam family: Bacterial small subunit ribosomal RNA
Source: RNAcentral
UACAGAGGAGCCAAGCGUUGUCCGGAUUGACUGGGCGUAAAGCGCACGCAGGCGGCACCGCGCGUGGGGUGUGAAAUCUGGCCGCUUAACGGCCAGGCGCCAUCCCAUACGGCGGAGCUGGAGUGAUGCAGAGGUCGAUGGAAUUGCCGGUGUAGUGGUGAAAUGCGUAGAGAUGUGGAGGAACACCGAUGGCGAAGGCAGCCCCCUGGGCUAACACUGACGCUCAUGCACGAAAGCGUGGGGAGCAAACAGG